Molecule: ribosomal RNA, 467 nt
Filed under: uncultured bacterium
Lineage: Bacteria
Description: partial 16S ribosomal RNA
Rfam family: Bacterial small subunit ribosomal RNA
Source: RNAcentral
UAGGGAAUCUUCGGCAAUGGACGAAAGUCUGACCGAGCAACGCCGCGUGAGUGAAGAAGGUUUUCGGAUCGUAAAACUCUGUUGGUAGAGAAGAACGUUGGUGAGAGUGGAAAGCUCAUCAAGUGACGGUAACUACCCAGAAAGGGACGGCUAACUACGUGCCAGCAGCCGCGGUAAUACGUGGGUCCCGAGCGUUGUCCGGAUUUAUUGGGCGUAAAGCGAGCGCAGGUGGUUUAUUAAGUCUGGUGUAAAAGGCAGUGGCUCAACCAUUGUAUGCAUUGGAAACUGGUAGACUUGAGUGCAGGAGAGGAGAGUGGAAUUCCAUGUGUAGCGGUGAAAUGCGUAGAUAUAUGGAGGAACACCGGUGGCGAAAGCGGCUCUCUGGCCUGUAACUGACACUGAGGCUCGAAAGCGUGGGGAGCAAACAGGAUUAGAUACCCUGGUAGUCCACGCCGUAAACGAUGAGU